This is a long non-coding RNA of Chinchilla lanigera (long-tailed chinchilla), 699 nucleotides long. RefSeq lists it as uncharacterized. The transcript is spliced from 3 exons. Lineage: Eukaryota; Metazoa; Chordata; Mammalia; Rodentia; Chinchillidae. The record is from RefSeq and is a predicted model, not a curated record.
AAUGAAGAAACACCCACUUUCAACAAUUUCUCUCCAGCUGGGCCAGAGAGGGAAGAGGGAUGCAGUGGCUCCUGGCCCCUCCGCUUCAAGCUUGGGCCGACCCAUGGCAGGAGCUCAACUGCGCUGUGGAACCUCAGAGAAUAUACACUGCUUGAGGCCCUGACUCCUGGGCAGUACCACAGAGAUCUAAGGAUACAAGUCAUAUGCCUGGAUUUUCCCCCAAAGAGGAACCCAGUUCUUGGCGAGGAAAAGGAGAACAAGAGUCAGGCACUGUUCUAGCUGUAAAUACAGAAGUGAACAAAAGAGAGAAGAACCUGACUGUCCACUAUGCAGAUGUCCUCCUUUCCACCUCAAGAGAGAAGAGAAUCCAUCAGUUGGUAAUUCCUUCAACAUCUGGCCAUUGACCCCACAGACACCAUCCACACUCAUCUCCCCUCUCCAUUUUCAGUCCUAGAGGAGCGGAUGAGCCACCUCCUGUUGAAGGCUAACCCCUCCCUCUCUACUAUGGACCGAUCUCUUCUACCUCCUGAACGUCUACAGUGCAAUAGCCCCGGAGUCAAUUCCCAGUACCACCAAAGAAAAAAGACUACAUGCCAUCAGUCAUGUUUCCUGCUGACUUUCACAUUGCUUCUCCCCUGUGGGCUCUUUCCAGUGGUCCAUUUCUAAUGUAGGCAAUAAAGACAAGGACUUGAGAAUAUU